RNAcentral lists this ribosomal RNA (253 nucleotides) under uncultured bacterium. RNAcentral describes it as "partial 16S ribosomal RNA". It matches the Rfam family "Bacterial small subunit ribosomal RNA", at positions 524 to 776 of the family's 1533-position model. The record is from RNAcentral.
GACAUAGGUGGCGAACGUUAUCCGGAUUUAUUGGGCGUAAAGCGCGUGUAGGCGGCUCGGUAAGUCUGCUGUGAAAGUCCAAGGCUCAACCUUGGAAAGCCGGUGGAUACUGUCGAGCUCGAGUCCGGAAGAGGCGAGUGGAAUUCCUGGUGUAGCGGUGAAAUGCGCAGAUAUCAGGAGGAACACCAAUGGCGAAGGCAGCUCGCUGGGACGGUACUGACGCUGAGACGCGAAAGCGUGGGGAGCAAACAGG